UGAAGUUAAAGGCAUUGGNUCAACCAAUGUAUGCUUUGGAAACUGUUAGACUUGAGUGCAGAAGGGGAGAGUGGANUUCCAUGUGUAGCGGUGAAAUGCGUAGAUAUAUGGAGGAACACCGGUGGCGAAAGCGGCUCUCUGGUCUGUCACUGACGCCGAGGCUCGAAAGCGUGGGUAGCGAACAGGAUUAGAUACCCUGGUAGUCCACGCCGUAAACGCUGAGUGCUAGGUGUUAGGUCCUUUCCGGGACUUAGUGCCGACGCUAACGCAUUAAGCACUCCGCCUGGGGAGUACGACCGCAAGGUUGAAACUCAAAGGAAUUGACGGGGGCCCGCACAAGCGGUGGAGCAUGUGGUUUAAUUCGAAGCAACGCGAAGAACCUUACCAGGUCUUGACAUCCCGAUGCCCGCUCUAGAGAUAGAGUUUUUCUUCGGAACAUCGGAGACGGGUGGUGCAUGGUUGUCGUCAGCUCGUGUCGUGAGAUGUUGGGUUAAGUCCCGCAACGAGCGCAACCCUUAUUGUUAGUUGCCAUCAUUAAGUUGGGCACUCUAGCGAGACUGCCGGUAAUAAACCGGAGGAAGGUGGGGAUGACGUCAAAUCAUCAUGCCCCUUAUGACCUGGGCUACACACGUGCUACAAUGGUUGGUACAACGAGUCGCAAGCCGGUGACGGCAAGCUAAUCUCUGAAAGCCAAUCUCAGUUCGGAUUGUAGGCUGCAACUCGCCUACAUGAAGUCGGAAUCGCUAGUAAUCGCGGAUCAGCACGCCGCGGUGAAUACGUUCCCGGGCCUUGUACACAC
This 799-nucleotide ribosomal RNA is filed under the name uncultured bacterium. RNAcentral describes it as "bacterial SSU rRNA". It matches the Rfam family "Bacterial small subunit ribosomal RNA", at positions 590 to 1390 of the family's 1533-position model. The record is from RNAcentral.